ACGGAACUGGCUUUCUCAGAUGGUUAAAGCUCUAAAACGUUAACUAAAGAAUAAUCCAGGGAAGAGAAAGUUACUCUUUGUUUCUUUUCUUUCUUUUUAUUUAUUUAUUUAUUUAUUUUUUGAGAUGGAGUCUUACUGUGUCGCCCAGGCUGGAGUGCAGUGUGCAAUCUCGGCUCACUGCAACCUCCGCCUCCCAGUUUCAAGCGAUUCUCCUGCCUCAGCCUCC
Molecule: long non-coding RNA, 226 nt
Filed under: Homo sapiens (human)
Lineage: Eukaryota; Metazoa; Chordata; Mammalia; Primates; Hominidae
Description: HSALNT0376908
Source: RNAcentral